Long non-coding RNA from Melospiza melodia melodia, 560 nucleotides. RefSeq lists it as uncharacterized. The record is from RefSeq and is a predicted model, not a curated record. Lineage: Eukaryota; Metazoa; Chordata; Aves; Passeriformes; Passerellidae. The transcript has 3 exons.
UGGCUAUUGUACAGGAGUAAUUGAUGUAGAGGAUGCAACAUUAGUAACAACCGCAGUUCACAGAAUGAUGGUCACAGAACGGGUCAGGCUGGAAGGGACCACAAAGGGCCAUCUGGCCCAGCUCCCUGCUCAAGCACAGCACAACUUUUUGUCUUGGACACACACUUCAGCGCUACAAAUUAAUCUCUGAGCUUAGGAAGCCGAGUGUCUCGGAGCUUUUUGACAGAAAACAGGGAGUAGUGCUGUAUCGACCACCUUCCUGCUACUUCUGAUGUAAGUAGACAGUAAAUGUGAAGAAACUUUAUUUUCCUCUCAGACUGGCUGUUAAACUCCACAAAACAGAGGAGCUGAGAGGAGCACUUUGUUUGCACUGCAUACUGUAGAUUAGACUGAUUUCUGACUCUCAGAGUUGUGAGGGAGGAAGCCAGCCUGAAAUCUGUCUGUACAAUUUUAUCAACAGAGCUAGUGAGUUUUAAAAAUCAUCUCUAAUAAAAAAGAGCAGACUGUAAUGCAAAAAUAUGAAAUUUGCAUAUUAAUAAAAGUACUUUUAGUGUUUUUAG